This 563-nucleotide ribosomal RNA is filed under the name uncultured bacterium. RNAcentral describes it as "partial 16S ribosomal RNA". It matches the Rfam family "Bacterial small subunit ribosomal RNA", at positions 355 to 912 of the family's 1533-position model. The record is from RNAcentral.
UGGGGAAUUUUGGACAAUGGGCGAAAGCCUGAUCCAGCAAUGCCGCGUGUGUGAAGAAGGCCUUCGGGUUGUAAAGCACUUUUGUCCGGAAAGAAAUCCUUGGCUCUAAUACAGUCGGGGGAUGACGGUACCGGAAGAAUAAGCACCGGCUAACUACGUGCCAGCAGCCGCGGUAAUACGUAGGGUGCAAGCGUUAAUCGGAAUUACUGGGCGUAAAGCGUGCGCAGGCGGUUUGCUAAGACCGAUGUGAAAUCCCCGGGCUCAACCUGGGAACUGCAUUGGUGACUGGCAGGCUAGAGUAUGGCAGAGGGGGGUAGAAUUCCACGUGUAGCAGUGAAAUGCGUAGAGAUGUGGAGGAAUACCGAUGGCGAAGGCAGCCCCCUGGGCCAAUACUGACGCUCAUGCACGAAAGCGUGGGGAGCAAACAGGAUUNGAUACCCUGGUAGUCCACGCCCUAAACGAUGUCAACUAGUUGUUGGGGAUUCAUUCCUUAGUAACGUAGCUAACGCGUGAAGUUGACCGCCUGGGGAGUACGGUCGCAAGAUUAAAACUCAAAGGAAUUG